RNAcentral lists this ribosomal RNA (429 nucleotides) under Pseudomonadota bacterium. RNAcentral describes it as "Proteobacteria bacterium partial 16S ribosomal RNA". It matches the Rfam family "Bacterial small subunit ribosomal RNA", at positions 355 to 776 of the family's 1533-position model. The record is from RNAcentral. Lineage: Bacteria; Pseudomonadati; Pseudomonadota.
UGGGGAAUAUUGGACAAUGGGCGAAAGCCUGAUCCAGCCAUGCCGCGUGUGUGAAGAAGGUCUUCGGAUUGUAAAGCACUUUAAGUUGGGAGGAAGGGCAGUAAGCGAAUACCUUGCUGUUUUGACGUUACCGACAGAAUAAGCACCGGCUAACUCUGUGCCAGCAGCCGCGGUAAUACAGAGGGUGCGAGCGUUAAUCGGAUUUACUGGGCGUAAAGCGUGCGUAGGCGGCUAAUUGAGUCGGAUGUGAAAUCCCCGAGCUUAACUUGGGAAUUGCAUUCGAUACUGGUUAGCUAGGGUGUGGGAGAGGAUGGUAGAAUUCCCGGUGUAGCGGUGAAAUGCGUAGAGAUCUGGAGGAAUACCGAUGGCGAAGGCAGCCAUCUGGCCUAACACUGACGCUGAAGUACGAAAGCAUGGGGAGCAAACAGG